Molecule: ribosomal RNA, 660 nt
Filed under: Triticum aestivum (bread wheat)
Lineage: Eukaryota; Viridiplantae; Streptophyta; Magnoliopsida; Poales; Poaceae
Description: partial small subunit ribosomal RNA
Source: RNAcentral
AUGAUUGAUAUUUUAUCAGUCAGAUGUAUACACACCACGGAGCAGUGGAAGGCAAGCGUGUCCGUCCGUCCAUCCACCCGUCCGGUUGAGUGCAGGCUCCGGUGGGUCCCUUGCCUGGCCUCAUCUGUCGUUGGCCGAGUGGGAGACUACAGGCCGGCGCCAAAUGGAGGCCGUUGGUGUGGACGCAUCGGGCUGCUGUUCGGUCGACGAAAGGAACGGUGCAGUGGCGGUGUUGGUGCCGGGUUGGUUGGUACGAGGGAGGUGAAAGUGGUAGGAAGGAGGCAAAGAAAGGCGCCGCGGACUUGGUGGUGGUGGUGGGGGUGGCCGUCGCAUGCCUCCCUUGUCUCGGUCCUGUUUCCGUUCCCGUGGAAAACAAACCGGGGCCAACCAGCUUGCCCCGCCCGUCCCUCUCCGCGGGGAGAAAGUGCCAAUCUCUUUGCCACUGGGUGCCGUGCCAUCUCCGCCGGCGAGGCCGAGAUGAGGUCGACGGUGGAGGUGUCCGGUUUGGCCUCGUGCUCUGUAUGCAUGUAUCUAUCCCUGUCUGUGUUACUGUGUGUGUAUCUGUCUCGGCUGGCUGCGCGAGGACCUGUGGCGCGCGUGCUGUUGGUCCACGCCGCUGGGAAGAGAGAGAGAGAGAGAGAGAGAGGUGGAAGGGAGUGA